Molecule: ribosomal RNA, 482 nt
Filed under: uncultured bacterium
Lineage: Bacteria
Description: partial 16S ribosomal RNA
Rfam family: Bacterial small subunit ribosomal RNA
Source: RNAcentral
AUUGAACGCUGGCGGCAUGCUUUACACAUGCAAGUCGAACGGCAGCGCGGGGCAACCUGGCGGCGAGUGGCGAACGGGUGAGUAAUAUAUCGGAACGUACCCAGAAGUGGGGGAUAACGUAGCGAAAGUUACGCUAAUACCGCAUACGAUCUACGGAUGAAAGUGGGGGAUCGCAAGACCUCAUGCUUUUGGAGCGGCCGAUAUCUGAUUAGCUAGUUGGUAGGGUAAAGGCCUACCAAGGCGACGAUCAGUAGCUGGUCUGAGAGGACGACCAGCCACACUGGGACUGAGACACGGCCCAGACUCCUACGGGAGGCAGCAGUGGGGAAUUUUGGACAAUGGGCGCAAGUCUGAUCCAGCAAUGCCGCGUGAGUGAAGAAGGCCUUCGGGUUGUAAAGCUCUUUUGUCAGGGAAGAAACGGCCGAGGCUAAUACCUUUGGCUAAUGACGGUACCUGAAGAAUAAGCACCGGCUAACUACGUG